AAGAAACGUUUCUUAGUAACACGUGUCUCUCUCUCUCUCUCUCUCUCUCUCUCUCUCUCUCUCUCUCUCUCUCUCUCUCGACGAACUCGAGAGCAAUCUUUAUCCGUUUCUUCAUAUUUUUCCCGACGGAAAUCUAUUCAUAUUCGCCAACCAGAGAUCGAUCCCGUUCGACUUCAUCAAUCACCGAAUCGUCAAGGAGUUUCCGGAGAUUCCCGGUGGCGACAAACAGAACCACCCCAUCACUGGCUCCUCCGUGCUCCUCCCUCUCUUUUGAUUAUGCUUCUGCUUCCAAGUCUAAUUCUUUUGAUUCAGAUUGAUAAGAGUUUCUAGAUUCUCAUAUAGUUGGCGAUCAGGAUGUUGUAAGUAUUGAUGCAUGCAAAGACGAGAGCAUUUGAUCAUUAUAAGGGAUGGAGCUUGUUAAAUGAUGAGACAGAACAAACGUGGUGGGAGGGUUAAGUUACAGCCUAUGGUGAUGCCUCAGUCUGAAUUUGACCACGCUGAGAAAGGAGAUGCUCUCUACGGUAAAGUGAUGGUUCUUGAAGGUGUGGAAUUUUUUCUAGUGCCAAAACCCGUCUCCGUUGCAUUUGGCAGGUAACUCUCUCCUUCUCCAUCUUCUAAGGUUUAUGGGGUUGGCUGACGUCCAGCUCCUCUUUUCGGCUCUGAUCGAUUUUAUGUACAAGAAUCUCCAGUUUUUUAGGACAAGGAUGGAGUAGGACUGUGUUCUUUGUUUUUUUCUUGUUGAAAUGUUCAUGGGCUGAGUUUCAUUAUAAACUGGUUAUAAAUUUUGCUUAGUUUGUAUGAUU
Brassica napus (rape) is the source of this 803-nucleotide long non-coding RNA. RefSeq lists it as uncharacterized. The transcript has 3 exons. The record is from RefSeq and is a predicted model, not a curated record. NCBI's taxonomy places the organism in Eukaryota, Viridiplantae, Streptophyta, Magnoliopsida, Brassicales, Brassicaceae.